AUGCCGGCGCCGGCCCUCCCCCUCCUCCUCCUCCUCGCCGCCGCCGUCGCCACCGCGUCCGCCGCCGUCCCGCCCGCCGCGUCGCACUCGCAGCCGACGCUGCCCACGAAAGGGGCGGGCGCGGGCGCGUCGCACUCCCAGCCGACGAAGCCCGCGGCGCCGCCGUCCGCCGCGCUCGCCUCGGCCCCGCCGGCCGAGGGCGCGCUGCUGGCGGCCUUCCUCGCCAAGGCCGACCCGACGGCGCACCUGCGCUUCCCCCUCGCCUCCACCCCCUGCGCGCACCCGGGCGUGACCUGCGGCGGCGCGGCGGGGAUCACGCACCUCGUGCUCGAGCAGGCCGGCCUCAACGGCACCUUCGCGCCGGACACGCUCUCGGGCCUCGCCGGGCUGCGCGUGCUCAGCCUCAAGUCCAACGCGCUCCACGGGCCCGUCCCCGACCUCUCCGCGCUCGGCAACCUCAAGGCGCUCUUCCUCGCCGGCAACCGCUUCUCCGGCCCGUUCCCGGCCUCGCUCGCCUCGCUGCGCCGCCUCCGCUCCAUCGACCUCUCCGGGAACAGGUUCUCCGGCGCGCUCCCGCCCGGCAUCGAGGCCGCGUUCCCGCAUCUCACGGCCCUCCGCCUCGACUCCAACCACUUCAACGGCUCCGUCCCCGCCUGGAACCAGUCGUCGCUCAAGCUGCUGAAUGUCUCGUACAACGACUUCUCCGGCCCCGUGCCCGUCACCGCCUCCAUGGCGCUCAUGGGCGCCGACGCGUUCGCCGGGAACCCCGGCCUCUGCGGCGAGGUCGUCCGCCGCGAGUGCAGUGGCUCCCCCCUCGUCUUCUUCCCCGGCGACGGCAGCAGCGGCUCCGCCACUCCCCCCGCGCAGAGCGCCGGUGCCACUGGCGUUGGCCCGCAGCGCCAGGGCUUACCGGGCUCGUCGGCACCACGCGGGCACAAAGUGAAGAAGAAGACGGCGAUGACUGUCGCGAUUGCUUUGGCAGCCGUCCUGGCCGUGCUUCUCGUUUGCGCCAUAGUUGCCGCAACGAGGGGCAAGAAGCGUAGGCGGCCGAGCACGGCGGCAUACCCGAGCCCCAAGAAGAGCGCGGCCGCCUCGCAGCUCAGCAGGGAGAUGGACAACGCCGACAUUGGCUAUGUGGAGUGUGUGCCGGACGAGGAGGCGGCGGCGAUGAUGAUGCCGGAGGAGAAGGCUCGCCGGCUGGGGCGGAGCGGCUGCCUAACGUUCUGCGCGGGCGAAGCCACCAGCUACAGUCUGGAGCAGCUGAUGCGCGCGUCGGCGGAGGUGCUCGGCCGCGGGAGCGUGGGGACGACGUACAAGGCGGUGCUCGACGGCCGGCUCGUCGUCAUCGUCAAGAGGCUGGACGCGGCCAAGAUCGGCCCGGCGGCUUCGGAGGCAGAGACCUUCGAGCAGAACAUGGAUGUGAUUGGCCGGCUGCGGCAUCCGAACCUCGUUCCGCUGCGGUCGUUCUUCCAGGCCAAGGAGGAGCGGCUGCUGGUGUACGACUACCAGCCCAACGGCAGCCUCCAUUCUCUCAUCCACGGUUCAAGAUCGUCCCGGGGAAAACCGCUGCACUGGACUUCAUGCCUGAAGAUAGCAGAAGAUGUUGCACAGGGCCUUGCCUACAUUCAUCAGGCAUCUCGGCUUGUUCAUGGAAACAUCAAGUCCUCCAAUGUGCUGCUUGGUUCAGACUUUGAGGCUUGCCUCACCGACAACUGCCUGUCAUUCCUUCUGGAAUCAGCAGAAGUCAAAGACGACGCCGCAUACAGAGCACCAGAAAACAUGAAGUCCAACAGAAGGCUAACCCCCAAAUCAGACGUCUAUGCUUUCGGCAUCCUUCUCCUUGAGCUCCUUAGUGGCAAGGCACCGCUCGAGCACUCGGUCCUGGCAGCAACCAAUCUCCAGACCUAUGCGCUGUCGGGGAGGGAAGACGAAGGAGUGGACAGAGAGCGCCUCUCGAUGAUCGUCGACAUUGCGUCUGCCUGCGUCCGGUCGUCACCGGAGAGCCGGCCAACUGCCUGGCAAGUCCUCAAGAUGAUUCAGGAGGUGAAGGAAGCAGAUGCAAUUGGCGACAAUGAGGACGGCGAUCUUACUAGUGACUCCUAG
RNAcentral lists this ribosomal RNA (2103 nucleotides) under Triticum aestivum (bread wheat). RNAcentral describes it as "partial small subunit ribosomal RNA". Lineage: Eukaryota; Viridiplantae; Streptophyta; Magnoliopsida; Poales; Poaceae. The record is from RNAcentral.